GAUGAACGCUGGCGGCGUGCCUAAUACAUGCAAGUCGAACGAAACUUCUUUAUCACCGAGUGCUUGCACUCACCGAUACAGAGUUGAGUGGCGAACGGGUGAGUAACACGUGGGCAACCUGCCCAAAAGAGGGGGAUAACACUUGGAAACAGGUGCUAAUACCGCAUAACCAUAGUUACCGCAUGGUAACUAUGUAAAAGGUGGCUAUACUACCGCUUUUGGAUGGGCCCGCGGCGCAUUAGCUAGUUGGUAGGGUAAAGGCUUACCAAGGCAAUGAUGCGUAGCCGAAUUGAGAGGUUGAUCGGCCACAUUGGGACUGAGACACGGCCCAAACUCCUACGGGAGGCAGCAGUAGGGAAUCUUCCACAAUGGGCGAAAGCCUGGUGGAGCAACGCCGCGUGGGUGAAGAAGGUCUUCGGAUCGUAAAACCCUGUUGUUAGAGAAGAAAGUGCGUGAGAGUAACUGUUCACGUUUCGACGGUAUCUAACCAGAAAGCCACUGCUAACUACGUG
RNAcentral lists this ribosomal RNA (512 nucleotides) under uncultured bacterium. RNAcentral describes it as "partial 16S ribosomal RNA". It matches the Rfam family "Bacterial small subunit ribosomal RNA", at positions 28 to 507 of the family's 1533-position model. The record is from RNAcentral.